UCUAUCACCUGACUCGGCUCAAACAUGGCUGCGCUGGAAGCUCUAUUGCUUUGGGUACCAGGAGCAGGAGGCGCUCCACGAAUGAGAAAAUUGACAAUGUGUUCUGCGUAAUUCAUCUCUUUUCUAUCUCCCUGCACUCUGUGCUGGGAAAAUGCAUCAUCCAUUUGGAAAAGAGGAAAUUGCUUCUCAGAAGCAGCUUUUUGGGUUUUUCUGUGAGUGCCUUCGCAGAGGAGAAUGGGAGCUGGCACAGGCAUGUGUACCUCAGCUACACGAGGCACAAGGGGAUAUCCCAAAGAAGGUGGAAGAUAUACUUCAGGCGCUCGUGGUGUGUCCAGAUCAGCUGAGAUGUGGACAGGACAUCAACCCUCAAAGAUUAGCCUGGAUCUGGUUUCUUGUACUGGAAAAAUGGUUCUCCCAGGAAAAGAAAUUACUCCCAAGUGUUUUCCGGAGAAAGCUUGAGUUUCUUUUAUUAUCAGAAGACCUCCAAAGUGACAUUCCUGAGGACAUCCUCAAGGAGCUAUAUGAGGCCCUAGCACAAGAUUCAGGAGGCCCUGUGCUUGAUGGAAAUCAGAGGCGGGAUAGCUGGACCCCUCGGCUCAGCUCAGAAGCCGUCUCUGUGCUGUGGGAUCUUCUGAGGCAGUCUCCCCAGCCAGCACAGGCCCUGCUGGAGCUCCUGCUUAGAGAAGACGAUGGCACUGGCCUCUGUGGCUGGCCCCUGCAGAAGGCACUGGUGGACUUCAUUCGAAGGGCGCUUCAGGCUGUGCGGGGCUCCGCCACUGGGCCCCCUGGUGAAGUAGAUGCUAUCUAUGGAGCCCUGCGGACUCUGCAUUGCCCUGCAGAGCCUCUCGAAGUUGAGCUGCAUCUCCUUUGUGAAGAACUACUGGAGGCCUGCAGGGCUGAGGGGAACCCCCUGCAGGAGGAGCGGGUGCUCAGCUGCCUGCUCCACAAGGCAGGACGGAGCCUGCUAUCCCUGUAUGGCCAUAUUUAUGCAGAGAAGGCCGCAGAAAAGCCAGCAAGGACCAUACCCUCGGGAAAAGUCUCCCCCGAUCAUCUAGAUCCUGAGCAGGCAAUGCUGGCCCUGUUCUCCAAUCCUGACCCAGCCCAGGCUUGGAAAUCAGCCUGUUUCUACUGCUUGAGCAACAGCAAGCACUUCCUCGAGCAGAUCCUGGUGACAGCACUCACGCUGCUGAAAGAGGAAGACUUCCCAAGUCUUGGCUGCCUACUCGACAGAGAAUUCAGGCCUCUUAGUCGACUGCUCGUGCUCCUGGGCUGGACACACUGCCAGAGCCUAGCAUCAGCCAAGAGUCUGCUCCAGACACUCCACAGGACCCAGGACCAGGGCUGUGACAAGCUCCUCAGGGAUGCCUGUGAUGGGCUGUGGGCUCACCUAGAGGUCCUGGAGUGGUGUGUACAGCAGAGCAGCAACCCCAUACCAAAGAGAGAUCUCUUAUGUCAUUUACAUGGUGGAGACAGCCACUCUGUGCUGUACUCUCUCCAUCACCUUACCAACCUUCCAGCUCUCAGGGAGGAAGAUGUUCUCAAGCUCUUACAGAUGGUGCCAGCCAAGGACCCCCAGCAAGAGCAUGAUUCAGCCGAUGCCCCAGUCCCUGAGCACCUGAGCCGGUGUCAGAACCUGACCCUGUACCAGAGCUUCUGUGCCAUGAAGUAUGCCAUCUAUGCCCUCUGUGUGAACUCACACCAGCACUCCCAGUGCCAGGAAUGCAGAGAGAGCCCUUCUGAGGACCUGGCCUUGGCUGCAGAGCCAGCAAAUGAUUCUGUCUCCUCCCCAGGUGCUUCAGAUCUCUUCUCAGCAUACCUGGCCAGAUGUCAACAGUAUCUGUGCAGUAUUCCUGACUCUUUGUGCCUGGAACUUCUAGAAAACAUCUUCUCAUUGCUCCUCAUCACCUCUGCCGAUCUUCACCCAGAGCCUCACCUGCCUGAGGACUAUGCUGAGGAUGAUGACGUUGGGAGGAAGGGCCUGAUGGAUUUGAGGUCACCGUCAGAGAGCCCUCAGCACAUAGCACAACCUGAGAAGAAGUCAGAACGGGGUGGCCAGGGAGUCCCCAGGAGCCUUGCUUCUAUAAUCCCAAGCUGUCUGAAGACAGAGCCAAAAGACAGUUCCCCAGAGCCCCAUGGGCACAGCUUUUUGGACCUAAAGCACUUUACUAGUGGUAUCAGUGGGUUCCUGGCUGAUGAAUUUGCAAUAGGGGCCUUCCUCAGACUUCUCCAGGAACAGCUGGAUAAACUCAGUAGCCACAACCCCCCUGAGAAGCCAAAGCUGCCAGAAGGCCAGAGCUGCUAUGGAAGCAGAGACGGACUGCAGAGCCGCUUGCACCGGUUUUCCAAGGUUCUUUCUGAGGCCCAGUGGAGAUACAAGGUGGUAUCAAGCAACCAGGGCUCAGAGGAACAACCUUCCCGAAGAUACCGGCCCAUUGCCACACGACACCCAAGUCUCCGCCGGGGGCGUCGGACUAGAAGGAGCCGGCCAGAUGGCCGGGACAAAGGUUCCAAUCCAUCCCUGGAAAGUACAAGUAGUGAGCUGAGCACAAGUACUUCAGAAGGAAGUCUGAACACUGUGUCUGGAAGGAACGAGCUGGAUGGCCGAUUGCAGACUCAGUGUCAAAGUUCAGUCAUCCCCAUGAUGUUCUCCCCACCUGAGUCACUGCUGGCAUCCUGCAUCCUCCGGGGGAACUUUGCAGAAGCCCACCAGGUGGUGUUCAUGUUCAACCUGAAGUCCUCGCCCAGCUCAGGGGAACUGAUGUUUGUGGAGCGCUACCAGGAGGUGAUCCAGGAACUGGCCCGGGUAGAACACAAGAUUGAAAACCAGAACUCAGAUGGCGGGAGCAGCACCAUUCGGAGAACAGGCAGCGGCCGCUCGACUCUACAAGCCAUCGGCAGUGCAGCAGCAGCAGGAAUGGUAUUUUACUCCAUCUCUGAUGUGACUGACAAGCUACUCAGCACCGCUGGAGAACCCAUCCCCACCCUCCAGGAGGACUUUUGGAUAAGCAACACCCUGGUGGAGCCCACUGCUCCCCUGAGAGAGGUUCUGGAAGACCUCAGUCCCCCUGCCAUGGCUGCAUUUGACCUAGCUUGCUCUCAGUGCCAGCUCUGGAAAACCUGCAAGCAGCUCUUAGAAACAGCUGAACGACGUCUAAACAUUAGCCUCGAGAGCCGGGGUCGGCAGCUAGACCAGGUACUCCUCAAUGCUGAUGGCAUUCGAGGUUUUCCUGUUGUUCUUCAGCAAAUCAGUAAGAUUCUCAAUUAUCCACUUAUAUCAGCUGGACAAACUAAAUCGGAGAGCGUAGAAGAAAAAGGAGGGGGCCCUCCGCGGUGCAGCAUAGCUGAGCUGCUUCAGAUGUGUUGGCCCAGCCUAACCGAGGACUGUGUCGCCGGCCACACCACCCUGUCCCAGCAGCUGGAACAAGUCCUCCAGGCGCUGAGAGAGGCUCUACAGCUGCCAGAGCCCAGGAGUACUCCACUCUCCUCACUGGUGGAGCAGGCGGCCCAGAAAGCUCCAGAGGCAGAGGCCCACCCUGUGCACAUCCAGACUCAGCUCCUCCAGAAGAAUUUGGGCAGACAGACCCCAGCAGGCAGCAGACAGACUGACUACCUAGGCACCUUCUUCAGUUACUGCAGCACCAUGGCCGCGGUUCUCCUUCGGAGUUUGAGUUCUGAGCCCGAUCACAUGGAAGUCAAGGUAGGAAAUCCAUUUGUUCUCCUGCAACAGAGCUCUUCCCAACUUGUGUCACACCUCCUGCUUGAGCGACAAGUUCCCCCAGACAGGCUGGCAGUCCUUCUGGCCCGAGAGGGGCUCAACCUGAGUGUGCCGAAGGUCAUUGUUAACUGCUGCUGUGAGCAUCUUGCCCUUUGCUCUUCCCAGCAAAGUCAGCAGACAUCAUCCCUUGUGACCCAGCUGGGCGUCAUGGUCCAGCUGCACACCUCCCACUGCCUGGAUGACCUCCCACUUUCUACACUGAGCUCCCCGAAGCCAACUGGGAAUCCCACAUUGGAGAGAAAGCCCCGCUCCUCCCCAAGGAAUUCAUCACUCCCAGCCCUUACCUCUUCUGCCUUGGCCUUCCUUAAGUCCCGCUCAAAGCUGCUGGCCACAGUGGCCUGUCUAGGAGCUUCCCAGGGGUCAAAGCUCACCAAGCCCAGCUUGUCAUGGAAGGAGCUUCGUGGCCGCAGGGAAGUGCCUCUGAGCGCAGAGCAGGUAGCCCAGGAGUGUGAACGCCUCCUGGAACAGUUCCCUAUGCUUAAGGCCUCCCUCAUGGCUGCCUGGGAGCCCCUACGACGGUCCACUGAGCAGGGGCAGAGCCUGGCAGUGAGUCUCUGUGGUCGAGCCAGUCUGUCUACCGUCCUCCUGGGCCUGCACUCUCCCAGUGCUCUAGAUGUGCUUACUGAGGCCUUCAAGGAAGCCCUGGUGGCCAGAGAUUGGCCCCAAGCCCUUCAGCUCACAGAAGUGUACGGGCGAGAUGUGGAUGACUUGAGCAACAUAAAGGAUGCGGUCCUGAGCUGUGCCGCGGCAUGUGACAAAGACGGUUGGCAGUUCCUGUUUCCUGUGAAGGACGCAUCUCUGAGAAGUCGGCUAACCCUACAGUUUAUGGACAGGUGGCCCCUGGAGUGGUGCCUGGAGAUCCUGGCAUACUGCAUCUCAGACACAACUGUCCAAGAUGGACUGAAGUGUGAGCUACAGAGAAAGCUAGCAGAGCUGCGGGUGUAUCAGAAGAUUCUAGGUUUGCAAGCUACCGUGGUAUGGUGUGACUGGCAGACCCUGAGGAACUGUUGCCUUGAGGACCCAUCAACUGUCAUGAACAUGAUUCUAGAAGCAAAGGAGUAUGGACUGUGUGAAGAGUGGGGCUGCCUCUACCCCAUUCCAAGAGAGCAUUUAAUCAGCCUACAUCAAAAGCAUCUUCUCCACCUUCUAGAAAAAGGAGAUCAUGAAAAGGCUCUGCAACUCCUACGAAGAAUUCCUGACCCCACCAUGUGCCUUGAGGUCACAGAGCAAUCCCUUGACCAGCACCCUAGCUUAGCCGCUUCUCACUUCCUGGCCAACUACCUCACCACCCACUUCUACGGAGAACUGUCUGCUGUCCGACACCGUGAAAUCCAGGCGCUAUACAUAGGAUCCAAGGUUCUACUGACCUUACCUGAGCCACACCGGGCCAACUACUCCCAUUUGUCUUCUAACCCCCUCCUCAUGCUGGAACAGCUACUCAUGAACAUGAAAGUGGACUGGGCCACUGUGGCUGUGCAGACUCUGCAGCAGCUGCUAACUGGGCAGGAGAUUGGCUUUACCAUGGAUGAGGUUGACUCACUGCUUUCCAGAUAUGCAGGAAAAGCCUUGGAUUUCCCGUACUCUCUGAGGGAGAAACGAUCAGAUUCUGUGAUUCAUCUCCAGGAAGUUGGGCAGGCUUCAGACCUUGAGACCUUGUCUAGAUCUCCAUCAGCAGAGUUCUCUUCUGCUGCUGCUCCUGGUGUCUCCACUGUACGUUCCCCCAGUCCAAGGGAGAGGAGCUUCCCAGAGAAUCAGCCCCCCCCAGAGUUUGUCCCCCCAGCAACACCCCCUGGCAGGCAUCAGUGGGUGCCUGACGAGAGUGCAAGCGUCUGCAUGGUCUGCUGCAGGGAGCGCUUCACCAUGUUCAACAGGCGUCAUCAUUGUCGCCGCUGUGGCCGGCUAGUGUGCAGUGCCUGCUCCACUAAGAAAAUGCAGGUGGAAGGCUGCAGAGAGAGCCCUACUCGCGUGUGUGACCAGUGCUAUAGUUACUACAACAAAGAUGUGCCAGAGGAGAAUCCAGAACAACCAGAAGCACCACCCAGCUCCAAGAGUGAAAGCCCUCCAUACUCAGCUGUGGUGAGAGUCCCCAAAGCAGCUGAGGUGGAAUGGAUUUUGGAUCUGAAUGAGGAGGAAAAUGAGCUGAUGCGGAGUGAAUUCUACUAUGAGCAGUCCCCCAGUGCCUCCUUGUGCAUUGCCAUCUUGAAUCUGCACCGGGACAGCACUGCGUGUGGCCACCAGCUAAUUGAGCACUGCUGCAAGCUGUCCCAGGGCCUCACCAACCCAGAGGUGGAUGCAGGGCUACUCACAGACAUCAUGAAGCAGCUUCUUUUCAGCGCCAAGAUGAUGUUCGUCAAGGCUGGCCGGAGCCAGGACCUCGCUCUCUGUGACAGCUACAUCAGCAAGGUAGAUGUGCUGAAUAUCUUAGUUGCUGCUUCAUAUCGCCACGUGCCAUCUCUGGAUCAGAUCUUGCAGCCGGCUGCAGUAACCAGGCUAAGGAACCAGCUUUUGGAAGCUGAGUACUACCAACUGGGUGUUGAGAUCUCCACAAAGACUGGCCUUGAUCCCACUGGAGCGUGGCAUGCUUGGGGCAUGGCCUGCCUCAAAGCCGGGAACCUCACUGCUGCACGGGAGAAGUUCAGUCGCUGUUUGAAGCCCCCUUUUGACCUCAAUCAGCUGAGUCAUGGCUCAAGACUGGUACAAGAUGUGGUUGAGUACCUGGAGUCCACAGUGAGGCCACUCCUGUCCUUGCAAGAUGAUGAUUAUUUUGCUACCUUGAAAGAACUGGAAACUACCCUUCGGACCCAGAGCCUCUCUCUGGAGGUGAUUCCUGAAGGGAAAAUCAUGAACAACACCUACUACCAAGAAUGCCUCUUCUACCUGCAUAACUAUAGCACCAACCUGGCCAUCAUCAGCUUCUACAUGAGGCACAGCUGCCUACGGGAAGCGUUACUCCACCUCCUCAACAAGGAGAGUCCUCCAGAAGUCUUCAUAGAAGGCAUUUUCCAGCCAAGUUAUAAAAGUGGGAAGCUACACACUUUGGAGAACUUGUUAGAAUCCAUUGAUCCAACCUUAGAGAGCUGGGGAAAGUACUUGAUAGCUGCCUGCCAACAUUUACAGAAGAAGAACUACUACCACAUUCUAUAUGAGCUACAGCAGUUUAUGAAGGACCAAGUCCGGGCCGCCAUGACCUGUAUCCGGUUCUUCAGUCACAAAGCAAAGACUUACACAGAACUGGGAGAGAAACUCUCGUGGUUACUUAAGGCCAAGGACCACCUGAAGAUCUACCUCCAAGACACCUCUCGCAGCACCAGAAGGAAGAAAACCACCUUCUUCCAAAAGAAGAUGACUGCAGCUGAUGUGUCCAGGCACAUGAACACACUUCAGCUGCAGAUGGAAGUGACCAGGUUCUUACAUCGGUGUGAAAGUGCUGGGACCUCUCAAAUCACCACCUUGCCUCUGCCAACCCUCUUUGGAAAUAACCACAUGAAAAUGGAUGUUGCCUGCAAGGUCAUGCUAGGAGGGAAAAAUGUGGAAGAUGGUUUUGGAAUUGCAUUCCGUGUUCUGCAGGACUUCCAGCUGGAUGCUGCAGCGACCUACUGCAGAGCUGCCCGGCAGCUGGUGGAGAGGGAGAAAUACAGUGAAAUCCAACAGCUGCUCAAGUGUGUCAGUGAGUCAGGCAUGGCGGCCAAAAGUGAUGGGGACACCAUCCUCCUCAACUGCUUGGAAGCAUUCAAGAGAAUUCCACCCCAGGAGCUGGAGGUCCUGAUCCAGGCAAUACACAGUGAUGACAACAAGGUUCAGGCCUACCUGACAUGUUGCAAACUGCGUUCUGCCUACUUGGUUGCUGUGAAGCAAGAACACUCACGGGCUGCAGCCCUUGUCCAGCAGGUGCAGCAGGCUGCCAGGAGCAGUGGGGAUGCAGUAGUGCAAGACAUCUGCACCCAGUGGCUUCUGACGAGCCACACCCGGAGCACCCACAGCUCAGGCUCCAGAAAGUGACCGUGUGCAGCGAGGCCUGACUACUAUAGAAUAGGAGAGAUGGAGAUGAUCUCUACCUCUCCCCUCCUGUGCAGUGGGACUUCCCCGGCUCUGCCCCAGGUCGGAAAGAGCUGGAUCGGACCCUACUUGCCACCUUGGGCAAGGAUAGGACCUUUCACGCCACGCAAGUGCCAUGUUUCUGUCAAACUGUGGGAUCUACGUGUUCAUCCGGAGAUGGCCAGUUCUUUCUACCUCAGCGUGAAAACUUAUCUCCUCGAAUUUCUCUUUAAAGAAGAACAACAACAGCAACUUCAGAAACAAACACAACAAAUAAAAACUGAUGAAAGUGGACCUGAAAAUUAUCUGUUAUGGACAUGGCACAAGAUGUGUCACAACACAGAUAAUUAGAACACCCAAUCUAAAUCUAGGAUAUGGGACCACGGACUAUGUUUAGAAACCUGAGACACUCCAGAGUUACCAGAUAUCUUUGGCUGGAGCUUAAACAAAGCAGGUCAAAUGCUAUUAGACUCUCUUCAUACCCAAGCAACCAAAUAUCAAUAGUCACAUAACCCAAAGGUUAUGGCCUUUUCUUGGUCAUCAUCCUCUCUUCUACAGUAAUAAUGUUGACUGACCCAUUAAAACUUCCAGUUCUUUUACAACAAAUUCAUUCCACAUGUGAUUACCAAAAGGCUUCUCCGGUGGAAUCCUUUCCUGUUCCAUUUCUUCAUGUUGUUAUUUCUUUCACCACCUACCAGUCUCUGGUCUGCCAUUAUCAAAACCCUUUCUUCAGGCUCAUUUUAAGUGCCAUUUCCUCUACAAAUUACUUGCUUCUCGGGCUAUACUUCCUCUUCAUGCCACUUAAAGGCUAAAAUUCUUCAAAGUUCUAUCCAUUCUCUCUUGACAUUUAAUACUCUCCCAUACCAUCCCAUAACUUCAGCAGUCAUCUUGGUUGGCUGAGUUCUAAACCAAAUUUGUCCCUCUUAACUCCUUUCCACAUCACACCUGCCUUUUGAUUGCUUCUUGAAGUCACCCACGUGGCUAACCUGUAACUAAAAAUAUCAAGUCCAAAAUGGAACACAUUCUAUUCCACCUACAAACCUGAUCUUCCUCCUUUGAUGAAUAUUGGUAUUACUGUUAUUACCGUUAUGCAUGCUGCCGGGGUUAGCAACCUCAGGGUUUCUCUGUAUUGACUAUUCACCCUCCUCAUUCAAACAUUUAGAUACUUACCUCAAAAAUAAAUACCUCAAAUACCUCAAAAACAAGUAAAUAAACAUUAAAAAUAUAUAUAAAUAAACGAAAGAUCUGAUGGUGGCCUAAGGAAAUCUAUGAUCUAAGAGGCAGACAAAGGAGGAGCAACUGGGCAAGAGAUCCCAGAGGGAGGAGGAAAACCAGGAGAAUGGAGGUUAUAGAAGUCAAGGAAGUAAGUGUUGACUUCCAGUUUCCACAUGGCUCUUUUUACUCUUGAAAACCACCUCCAAAGAGCCAAGGAGAAACAAACUAAACAAACAUACUUCCAAACAGAAACUCUAUCUUUGAUAAACUAGGAGACAACUGUUAAGAAAAAUUCACAGGUCGCCUGGGUGGCUCAGUUGAUUGAGUCUGAUUUUAGCUCAGGUCAUGAUCCCAGGGUCAUGAGAUCAAACCCCACAUCGGGCACCAUGCUGAGCGUGGAGCCUGCUUAAGAGUCUCUCU
RNA transcript from Prionailurus viverrinus (fishing cat), 9445 nucleotides. It is a transcript of the gene named zinc finger FYVE-type containing 26, with no coding region annotated. The transcript is spliced from 43 exons. NCBI's taxonomy places the organism in Eukaryota, Metazoa, Chordata, Mammalia, Carnivora, Felidae. The record is from RefSeq and is a predicted model, not a curated record.